This 492-nucleotide ribosomal RNA is filed under the name uncultured bacterium. RNAcentral describes it as "partial 16S ribosomal RNA". It matches the Rfam family "Bacterial small subunit ribosomal RNA", at positions 29 to 507 of the family's 1533-position model. The record is from RNAcentral.
AGUGAACGCUGGCGGUAGGCCUAACACAUGCAAGUCGAACGGCAGCACAGUAAGAGCUUGCUCUUACGGGUGGCGAGUGGCGGACGGGUGAGGAAUACAUCGGAAUCUACUUUUUCGUGGGGGAUAACGUAGGGAAACUUACGCUAAUACCGCAUACGACCUACGGGUGAAAGCAGGGGAUCUUCUGACCUUGCGCGAUUGAAUGAGCCGAUGUCGGGUUAGCUAGUUGGCGGGGUAAGGGCCCACCAAGGCGACGAUCCGUAGCUGGUCUGAGAGGAUGACCGGCUCCACUGGAAUUGGAACACGGUCCAGACUCCUACGGGAGGCAGCAGUGGGAAAUAUUGGACAAUGGGAGCAAGCAUGAUCCAGCCAUGCAGCGUGGGUUAAGAAGGCAUUGUGGUUGUAAAGCCCUUUUGUUGGGAAAGAAAAGCAGCAGGUUAAUACCCCGCUGUUCUGACGGUACCCAAAGAAUAAGCACCGGCUAACUUCGUG